UAGGGUCAAGCGACUAAGUGCAUCUGGUGGAUGCCUUGGCGAUCACAGGCGAUGAAGGACGUGCAAGCCUGCGAAAAGCGGCGGGGAGCUGGCAAUGAAGCUUUGAUCCGCCGAUGUCCGAAUGGGGAAACCCCUCCGCAAGGAGAUCCCUGGCUGAACACAUAGGCCAGUGGAGGCGAACCGGGAGAACUGAAACAUCUAAGUACCCCGAGGAAAAGAAAUCAACCGAGAUUCCGUAAGUAGUGGCGAGCGAACGCGGAAGAGCCUGUACGUGUUAUGCAUUGAGAUAGUGGAAGGCAUUGGAAACUGCCGCCAUAGUGGGUGAUAGCCCCGUACACGAAAUUUCAUUGCAAGAACUGGGCGUACGAGAAGUAGGGCGGGACACGCGAAAUCCUGUCUGAAGAUGGGGGGACCAUCCUCCAAGGCUAAAUACUCAUCAUCGACCGAUAGUGAACCAGUACCGUGAGGGAAAGGCGAAAAGAACCCCGGGAGGGGAGUGAAAUAGAGCCUGAAACCGUGUACUUACAAACAGUCGGAGCUGCUGCGGUUCGCAAGGGGUGACUGCGUACCUUUUGUAUAAUGGGUCAGCGACUUACGUUCAGUAGCGAGCUUAACCGAAUAGGGGAGGCGUAGGGAAACCGAGUCCGAAUAGGGCGCUUUAGUUGCUGGGCGUAGACCCGAAACCGAGUGAUCUAUCCAUGGCCAGGAUGAAGGUGCGGUAACACGCACUGGAGGUCCGAACCCACUAGUGUUGCAAAACUAGGGGAUGAGCUGUGGAUAGGGGUGAAAGGCUAAACAAACUCGGAGAUAGCUGGUUCUCCCCGAAAACUAUUUAGGUAGUGCCUCAUGUAUCACUUCCGGGGGUAAAGCACUGUUAUGGCUAGGGGUCAUUGCGAUUUACCAAACCAUGGCAAACUCUGAAUACCGGAAAGUGCAAGCAUGGGAGACAGACGGUGGGUGCUAACGUCCAUCGUCAAGAGGGAAACAACCCAGACCGCCAGCUAAGGUCCCAAAUGAUCAGUUAAGUGGUAAACGAGGUGGGAAGGCCUAGACAGCCAGGAUGUUGGCUUAGAAGCAGCCAUCAUUUAAAGAAAGCGUAAUAGCUCACUGGUCGAGUCGUCCUGCGCGGAAGAUGUAACGGGGCUCAAACUGAUAACCGAAGCUGCGGAUGCACAGUUUACUGUGCGUGGUAGGGGAGCGUUCUGUAGGUCUGUGAAGGUGUGUCGUAAGGCAUGCUGGAGAUAUCAGAAGUGCGAAUGCUGACAUGAGUAGCGAUAAAGCGGGUGAAAAGCCCGCUCGCCGAAAGCCCAAGGUUUCCUACGCAACGUUCAUCGGCGUAGGGUGAGUCGGCCCCUAAGGCGAGGCUGAAAAGCGUAGUCGAUGGGAAACGGGUUAAAAUUCCCGUACUUUCGUAUAGUGCGAUGUGGGGACGGAGAAGGUUAGGUCAGCCAGGUGUUGGAUGUCCUGGUUUAAGCCGGUAGGCGGAGAGAUUAGGCAAAUCCGGUCUCUCUUAACGCCGAGACGUGAUGACGAGGCACUACGGUGCCGAAGUGACUGAUACCACGCUUCCAGGAAAAGCCACUAAGCUUCAGCUAUACGAGAACCGUACCGCAAACCGACACAGGUGGGCAGGAUGAGAAUUCUAA
RNAcentral lists this ribosomal RNA (1646 nucleotides) under Comamonas thiooxydans. Its description in RNAcentral is "bacterial LSU rRNA". It matches the Rfam family "Bacterial large subunit ribosomal RNA", at positions 1 to 1684 of the family's 2925-position model. The record is from RNAcentral. Lineage: Bacteria; Pseudomonadati; Pseudomonadota; Betaproteobacteria; Burkholderiales; Comamonadaceae.